This 568-nucleotide ribosomal RNA is filed under the name uncultured Neisseriaceae bacterium. RNAcentral describes it as "bacterial SSU rRNA". It matches the Rfam family "Bacterial small subunit ribosomal RNA", at positions 812 to 1381 of the family's 1533-position model. The record is from RNAcentral. Lineage: Bacteria; Pseudomonadati; Pseudomonadota; Betaproteobacteria; Neisseriales; Neisseriaceae.
ACAAUUAGCUGUUGGGACACUAGAUGUCUUAGUAGCGAAGCUAACGCGUGAAAUUGUCCGCCUGGGGAGUACGGUCGCAAGAUUAAAACUCAAAGGAAUUGACGGGGACCCGCACAAGCGGUGGAUGAUGUGGAUUAAUUCGAUGCAACGCGAAGAACCUUACCUGGUCUUGACAUGUACGGAAUCUCUUAGAGAUAGGAGAGUGCCUUCGGGAACCGUAACACAGGUGCUGCAUGGCUGUCGUCAGCUCGUGUCGUGAGAUGUUGGGUUAAGUCCCGCAACGAGCGCAACCCUUGUCAUUAGUUGCCAUCAUUAAGUUGGGCACUCUAAUGAGACUGCCGGUGAUAUGCCGGAGGAAGGUGGGGAUGACGUCAAGUCCUCAUGGCCCUUAUGACCAGGGCUUCACACGUCAUACAAUGGUCGGUACAGAGGGUAGCGAAGCCGCGAGGUGAAGCCAAUCUCAGAAAGCCGAUCGUAGUCCGGAUUGCACUCUGCAACUCGAGUGCAUGAAGUCGGAAUCGCUAGUAAUCGCAGGUCAGCAUACUGCGGUGAAUACGUUCCCGGGUCU